RNAcentral lists this ribosomal RNA (467 nucleotides) under uncultured bacterium. Its description in RNAcentral is "bacterial SSU rRNA". It matches the Rfam family "Bacterial small subunit ribosomal RNA", at positions 926 to 1391 of the family's 1533-position model. The record is from RNAcentral.
CAAGCGGUGGAGCAUGUGGUUCAAUUCGACGCAACGCGAAAAACCUUGCCUGGGCUCGAAAUGCAGGAAACUGGGGUGGAAACAUCCCUUCCCCUUAAAAGGCUGCUGCAUAGGUGCUGCAUGGCUGUCGUCAGCUCGUGUCGUGAGAUGUUGGGUUAAGUCCCGCAACGAGCGCAACCCUUAUCCCUAGUUGCCAUCGGGUCAAGCCGGGCACUCUAGUGAAACUGCCUCGGAUAACGAGGAGGAAGGUGGGGAUGACGUCAAGUCCUCAUGGCCUUUAUGUCCAGGGCUACACACGUGCUACAAUGGUCGGUACAAACCGUCACAAACCCGUGAGGGGGAGCUAAUCGGAAAAAGCCGGCCUCAGUUCGGAUUGGAGUCUGCAACUCGACUCCAUGAAGCUGGAAUCGCUAGUAAUCGCGGAUCAGAACGCCGCGAUGAAUACCUUCCCGGGCCUUGUACACACC